This 214-nucleotide long non-coding RNA is filed under the name Nicotiana benthamiana. RNAcentral's name for it is "long non-coding RNA (NBEN_LNC008273)". Lineage: Eukaryota; Viridiplantae; Streptophyta; Magnoliopsida; Solanales; Solanaceae. The record is from RNAcentral.
UAAGGCCUUGAUUUUCUUGCGCCAUCGCCUUGAUGAAGGUUUGAAACUGUGCUAAGGCCUUUAUUUUCUUGCGCCAUCGCCUUGAUGAAGGUUUGAAACUGUGCUAAGGCUUUGAUUUACUUGCGCCAUCACCUUGAUGAAGGUUUGAAAAUUGAAUAUAUCACAGUCAAAGAUCCACCUAUCUUGUGGAAUGGCUUAAUGGAGAGAUANNNNN